UACGGAGGGUGCAAGCGUUGUCCGGAUUUAUUGGGUUUAAAGGGUGCGUAGGCGGCCCAUUAAGUCAGCGGUGAAAGCCCGGGGCUCAACCCUGGAACUGCCGUUGAUACUGGCGGGCUUGAGUUCGGUCGAGGCGGGCGGAACUGGUGGUGUAGCGGUGAAAUGCAUAGAUACCACCAAGAACCCCGAUUGCGUAGGCAGCUCGCUAGGCCGAAACUGACGCUGAGGCACGAAAGCGUGGGGAGCGAACAGG
This 253-nucleotide ribosomal RNA is filed under the name uncultured bacterium. RNAcentral describes it as "partial 16S ribosomal RNA". It matches the Rfam family "Bacterial small subunit ribosomal RNA", at positions 524 to 776 of the family's 1533-position model. The record is from RNAcentral.